GAUGAACGCUGGCGGCGUGCUUAACACAUGCAAGUCGAACGGGAAUUAUUUUAUUGAAACUUCGGUCGAUUUAAUUUAAUUCUAGUGGCGGACGGGUGAGUAACGCGUGGGUAACCUGCCUUAUACAGGGGGAUAACAGUCAGAAAUGGCUGCUAAUACCGCAUAAGCGCACAGAGCUGCAUGGCUCAGUGUGAAAAACUCCGGUGGUAUAAGAUGGACCCGCGUUGGAUUAGCUGGUUGGUGGGGUAACGGCCCACCAAGGCGACGAUCCAUAGCCGGCCUGAGAGGGUGAACGGCCACAUUGGGACUGAGACACGGCCCAGACUCCUACGGGAGGCAGCAGUGGGGAAUAUUGCACAAUGGGGGAAACCCUGAUGCAGCAACGCCGCGUGAAGGAAGAAGUAUCUCGGUAUGUAAACUUCUAUCAGCAGGGAAGAUAGUGACGGUACCUGACUAAGAAGCCCCGGCUAACUACGUG
Molecule: ribosomal RNA, 478 nt
Filed under: uncultured bacterium
Lineage: Bacteria
Description: partial 16S ribosomal RNA
Rfam family: Bacterial small subunit ribosomal RNA
Source: RNAcentral